GAUGAACGCUGGCGGCGUGCCUAAUACAUGCAAGUCGAGCGAACGGACGAGAAGCUUGCUUCUCUGAUGUUAGCGGCGGACGGGUGAGUAACACGUGGAUAACCUACCUAUAAGACUGGGAUAACUUCGGGAAACCGGAGCUAAUACCGGAUGAUAUUUUGAACCGCAUGGUUCAAAAGUGAAAGACGGUCUUGCUGUCACUUAUAGAUGGAUCCGCGCUGCAUUAGCUAGUUGGUAAGGUAACGGCUUACCAAGGCAACGAUGCAUAGCCGACCUGAGAGGGGGGGCGGCCAAAAUGGAACAGUGCGCCGGAGAGGACGCAGACGGGAGGGAGCAGUGGGGAAUGGGAGGCAAUGGUCUGAAGCGUGACAGAGCAGUGGCGCGUGAAAGAUGAAGGGCUUCAGUGCGUAAAACUCUGUUAAGGGGGAAGAACAAAUAUGUAAGGAACUGUGCACAGCCUGAGGGUACCGAAACAGAAAGGAACGGCUAACUACGAG
This 497-nucleotide ribosomal RNA is filed under the name uncultured bacterium. RNAcentral's name for it is "partial 16S ribosomal RNA". It matches the Rfam family "Bacterial small subunit ribosomal RNA", at positions 28 to 507 of the family's 1533-position model. The record is from RNAcentral.